Molecule: ribosomal RNA, 426 nt
Filed under: uncultured bacterium
Lineage: Bacteria
Description: partial 16S ribosomal RNA
Rfam family: Bacterial small subunit ribosomal RNA
Source: RNAcentral
GUGAGGAAUUUUCCGCAAUGGGCGAAAGCCUGACGGAGCAAUGCCGCGUGAAGGAUGAAGGCCUAUGGGUUGUAAACUUCUUUUCUCAGAAAAGAAUUAUGACGGUAUCUGAGGAAUAAGCAUCGGCUAACUCUGUGCCAGCAGCCGCGGUAAGACAGAGGAUGCAAGCGUUAUCCGGAAUGAUUGGGCGUAAAGCGUCUGUAGGUUGUUUAAAAAGUAUUCUGUCAAAGAUUAGGGCUUAACCCUAGAUAGGCAGAAUAAACUUUUAAGCUAGAGUUUGGUAGAGGCAGAGGGAAUUCCCUGUGGAGCGGUGAAAUGCGUAGAUAUCGGGAGGAACACCAAAGGCGAAGGCACUCUGCUGGGCCAAUACUAACACUGAGAGACGAAAGCGAGGGGAGCAAAUGGGAUUAGAUACCCUGGUAGUCC